UACGUAGGGUGCGAGCGUUAAUCGGAAUUACUGGGCGUAAAGAGUGCGUAGGCGGUUUGUGAAGUCAGAUGUGAAAGCCCCGGGCUUAACCUGGGAAGUGCGUCUGAAACUGGCAGGCUAGAGUUUGGUAGAGGGGGGUAGAAUUCCUGGUGUAGCAGUGAAGUGCGUAGAGAUCAGGAGGAACACCGAUGGCGAAGGCAGCCCCCUGGGCUAAAACUGACGCUCAGGCACGAAAGCAUGGGGAGCAAACAGG
This 253-nucleotide ribosomal RNA is filed under the name uncultured bacterium. RNAcentral describes it as "partial 16S ribosomal RNA". It matches the Rfam family "Bacterial small subunit ribosomal RNA", at positions 524 to 776 of the family's 1533-position model. The record is from RNAcentral.